This 285-nucleotide long non-coding RNA is filed under the name Daucus carota (carrot). RNAcentral describes it as "long non-coding RNA (DCAR_LNC002690)". Lineage: Eukaryota; Viridiplantae; Streptophyta; Magnoliopsida; Apiales; Apiaceae. The record is from RNAcentral.
GAGCAACUUACCUAAAAUUAGUUAACAACCUAAACCCUCUCAAACCCUUGAUUACAACUAAUAUAACACAAGUUUUGAUGCGCACUACAGAGUCACAGACUCAUAGCUAGAAAUCACAUUUGUAAAUUAUGACAUAAUAGAUCCAAAAGCAUAAGAUAAUAAGCACUGGCUAUGGUAAAAUCUAUAGGCAUUCUUCCCUUUAAACAAUUCAACAAUGAGCACAACUACACAAGUCAGAAGUGCGUGAAAAUAAAACACCAUGAUAAUUUUAAUCUCUAACGACCC